This 185-nucleotide unclassified non-coding RNA is filed under the name soil metagenome. RNAcentral's name for it is "partial internal transcribed spacer 1". The record is from RNAcentral.
CAGAGUUGCAAAACUCCACUAAACCAUCGCUGAAUCUUACCACUAACAGGUUGCCUCGGCGGCUGGCGUCCGGAGGGCCCUCACGGGGCCCCGGAGCCUCGGUCUCCCUCGCGGAGCUGCCCGCCGGAGUGCCUACUCAAACUCUUGAUUUUACACAGGCCUCUCUGAGUACUUUAAAUAAGUCA